GCGAGUUAAUGCUCAUUGGAAUCGUCUAUGUUCAAGACCGACACUGAAUGAGAAUCUCACCCUCAAUGAUGGCUCACGUUUCACAGGGAUUUAUGUAGCAGCGAAUAUCCACAAUUGCGCUGGAACAGACAGAUGGGAUGAAGUUCUGCUCUUGCUGAUGGCUGUUCAUGAUCCCGGGGCAAGACCUGAGCGGAUUGGACGCAGCUCCCGAAGGAGAGGAGCUCACAGCAAGAAGCCGCCUGGAACUGGCAAUGGAAUUGCACUUUGCCUGUUGUAAGGGUCCAGAAAUUCAGCAAACAGACAGCACCAUGCUGACUCCAUGGGCCAUCCAGCAAGUGCGACUCUGCCUCUUCUCUUUGUAUCUCUGAUUCUUCCCUCCUCCAGUCCCCGUUUCAUUCGCUGCAGGGAACACAAGCCCAGACUAUCCCACCUCUCCCUAUAACUGAAGUCCUUCAAUCCGGGCAACAUCCUGGACGGUUGUUCACACAAUGAAGAGUCAUAGCCUUCAUCUGGAGGUGUAACCAUUAGAGACAACAAGCAAAGUGCUGGAGGGACUCCACAG
Mobula hypostoma (lesser devil ray) is the source of this 562-nucleotide long non-coding RNA. RefSeq lists it as uncharacterized. NCBI's taxonomy places the organism in Eukaryota, Metazoa, Chordata, Chondrichthyes, Myliobatiformes, Myliobatidae. The transcript has 3 exons. The record is from RefSeq and is a predicted model, not a curated record.